This 127-nucleotide ribosomal RNA is filed under the name Mandrillus leucophaeus (drill). Lineage: Eukaryota; Metazoa; Chordata; Mammalia; Primates; Cercopithecidae. The record is from RNAcentral.
UACCACCCGGAACACCUGAACACACCCAAUCUCGUCUGAUCUCAGAAGCUAAGCAGGGUCGGGCCUGGUUAGUACUUGGAUUGGAGAUAUGAGUUGCAUGCAUCUUUACUCACUGUGAGAGUUGGAA